Molecule: long non-coding RNA, 1100 nt
Filed under: Cairina moschata (Muscovy duck)
Lineage: Eukaryota; Metazoa; Chordata; Aves; Anseriformes; Anatidae
Description: domestica (muscovy Duck (domestic type)) lncRNA (ENSCMMG00000014645.1)
Source: RNAcentral
AAUUAAUAUGAUGAAAGAGUUGGGAGUUAAAGUGCUCCUAGCCUUCCUCCACGCCGAGGGGCUGGGUCUGACCCCUCGGUGUCAAGAGGGGAUCUGUGAGUCGGGGUGUCAGUCCAUUAAUUACCAAUUUCUUGUGCUUUAGGUUCAUUCCUGGUGAUUGCUGAUGUGUUUAUACAGGAACCAUGGUCAUUCUACGACAGCAUAUAGGUCCCUUGAGGGAGGCGAAGCACCGUGCCUGACACAUGAAGAUGGAGCUGGAGACUGCUUUCGAGCUCUGGAGAGCGAUGAAAUGGAUCUAGAGCAGCUUGGGGAAGCAGCAGAGAAGGAAAGUGGUGGCCCAGGAAGCUGGCAAUCCAGACCUUGUACCCACACCCAGCUUUAAACCCCACGAAACAAGCCCUACGUGAAUAACGCUGUCCUUGACGUAGAAAACUAUAUUUUCUGAAGGUACAUGUGGCUUCCUGGCAGAUACCUGUUAUUGUGCAGGCAUUGUUUUUUGUCUAAAAUUGCCCUUUCCCCCUCUUGUCACUUCUCCAGUGGUGAUAGAGAGAGCAGACACUUUCCCUGCCAGCCUUGGGGUUGACUAAAAGCCUCCAAAAUCUGUUUUUUUAAACUCGUAAAACAAACUCCCAACCCUCCUGUGACAGUGGCAGCUCUUUCUGCACCUACCCCAGUUUAGUUAAUACUUCCCAACACCAGAACUGCACACAGCACUGCAGAUGAAAGGGAUCCGUGCAGUUCAUUAAUGAGCAAGAACACAUUUUCUGAUCGAGAGCAUUCGCAGAGACUGCCUGCAACGCUCCAGGAGAUGGUUUUCCUUCCUGGAAGGAAGAAUAGCAGAGGGAUUUUGAAACCUUUCAAUCCAUUCACAAACAUCUCUCAGCUGGGCUCUGCGAGUACUGUUUGCUCGGGGAGCUGACACACAUUUUUCCGGCCCUGGGUGAUAUCGGAUAACACACAUUCAGCCUCGCAUCUCUAAGUGAUUCAUUGUGCCGUAUUUUUUGAUAGCAAGAAGGGGGCGGGGGGGAAAAACAAACAUUAUUGUAGGUCUUCUCAGGGCUGAUCUGUAAUCAUGUAAUUAAAAAGCGAAGUGUAAGCCC